Molecule: non-coding RNA, 75 nt
Organism: Nicotiana attenuata
Lineage: Eukaryota; Viridiplantae; Streptophyta; Magnoliopsida; Solanales; Solanaceae
Source: Rfam
GGGAAUGUAGUUCAGUCGGUCAGAGCACCGUCUUAUCAAGGCGGAAGAUGCGGGGUUCGAGCCCUGACAGUCCCG